Molecule: RNA transcript, 3212 nt
Organism: Ailuropoda melanoleuca (giant panda)
Lineage: Eukaryota; Metazoa; Chordata; Mammalia; Carnivora; Ursidae
Gene: TRMT9B
Gene name: tRNA methyltransferase 9B (putative)
Exons: 3
Source: RefSeq, a predicted model, not a curated record
UUAGACGUGAUCAAAACAGGCGAGCCUGCCGUGCCUUAGGGGAUUGCGGGAUGUGUUUCAGAUGUCAACACCGGAUAAAUCAGAACUUAAGAGCUGCAGGGGACAUGUUUAGUGUCUUAAAGCUCUUGGUAUGAUGCAUUGUUGAAGCUGUCAGCACUCGUCUGGGCAAUCUUACCUUUCUACUUACAGGCAAACUUCUAACCACUCAAGAGAAGGAAUUUAGAGUCUGCACUGGGUCACCUGAAGUGAAUCCCAUCUCUGAGCCUUUUCCUCACCAGUGAAGUGGCCAUCACGAGACUUCCCGAUGUGGCUGUGAGAAGCACAUGGAAUACUCUGUCUCUAACACCGAGUAUGGUGUCAGCACAUUGUGAGCAGUCUCCUGGGGGCUAUGGAGGGGUUGCUGUGUAGUCGACAGUAGCACUGAAUGUUCGGGUAAAUGGAUCAUUCUCCUGUCCUCGUACACUUAGUAUGCUCUCAGAGUAUACACUAGACUCCUAGGAGUUAGUGUCUCUUGGGAGCUAGAGGCUCACCCCGUCAAACCUGCAUAUCCUCCCCCCUGAAGCAGGCCUCUGGCUUAUCGCGGGUUAAAGAAGUUACCUGUGGUGGGUUUUUUUUGGAAAUGAUGAUGAGAUGGUAAGGGGAGGGAGAGAUGACUGAGUGAAAUUCUGAAAUAGAAUUUAAACGUGUAAUUGGCUUGUUUCUGUUAAUGCCAUUAGAAGUGUGGCCCUCAUAAAAUGAUAACAAUUCCUAGUUUCCCCAGGGGCAGUUAUGUAUUUUGCAAUGGGGUAUCUGGACUUUGGGGAUGAAGCAGCAAUAACAUUCCCUCAGUUUCUCAAUUGUUCAGCAUUGCCUAGGCACCUAAGCCACCACGCUAAGCCUUCAGGCAGCGAUAGCAAGAAACGCAGACCUAGCACCCGUGGAACACGUGCCUGCUGGUCAUACAGAGGCGAACAUGUAAUUAUCCUUGUGCUCAGUGCGAGGCAGGAAAAACGUCAAGGGCAGAAAGGGAAUGUGACUGAGGAUGGGAGGGAUGUCAGGAAUGCUUGCUUGCGGUAGUGGUGUUGGGAUUGUGAAGGAAGGUUCUUUCUCGGGGAAGAAAGAGCCUUUAAUAUGUAAGGAACAGCCCCUGCAGAGACUCUGCACAAGCAGGUGCCAUAGGGCCAGGCCGGGGAGAGGGCGGGUAUCUUUGAAGAAGGGGCAAUGUUAUGAAUGAGGCUGGAACCGUAGGCCUCUGCUGUGAGACACAUUUUCUUUCCUAGCAAGGUUUACAGUCUCGGUAGAACUCUUAAUUGUUCUGUGUAAACAUCUUACCUUAGGCUUUCAAACUACUCUACUGAAUUAUAAAAAGGAGAUUUACAAUCAUUUUUUUAAGCUGAUCAGAACCAAACCUAGUUGACUAGUUUGUCAGCUCUCUGCAUUACCAAGCAUCUGACUUUAAAACCACUGGGAUUCAUUUCUUUUUUAAAAAUCUAAUAGAUUUCUGUUUAAUAUACCUAUUUUUCAUAUUUCCAGCCAUCCUAUUUACGUAUAUACAAAUUUAUUUGUCCUAUAUAUGUAUACGGGAGACCUGGAAAUAUACAAAAUAUGUAUAUCGAUCCAGUUUGAAUCUGUAUAUCUGUUCAAGAGCUGUCGGGACUGAUUGGCUCGCAUUUCGCCCAUGGGACGCCGUCCUAGUGUGGAUGUGAGAAGCCUGAGCCCGGCUCUGAGAAGCUGCGACGUGGGCCUGCCGGGCGGUAGCAGUGUGCAUCUUGGUGGAUUGCUCUCCAACACCAUCCUGGCAAGCUCAGCGAAGAAUUUGGCACCGGAUUCUCUUCACCAUAUGCGUGGCUUUAUUCACUGUUAUUCCGUUCCCUUUUUUCCUCCUUCUCUCCCUCCUUUAUCAUUUUUUCCUUCCUAUUUCUUUUUCUCUCUCUCUAGGAGCCCCCAUCAUUAUUUCUUAGCCUUUAUAAUUAUGCUCUGGCUUUAACCUCAGGCCCUACAGUGUUGGCUUCAUUUGGGUAGUCCUGGAUGGUAUGGCCCUUGACCUUCUUCCUGUUCUUCAUGGAUAACCAUAGGUGUCAGAUGGACACAAACUUUUUCCUUCUUGCACUUCUCCCCAGGCAGCAGACCUGCUGCCUUGUGCCCUGAAUGCCCUCAUCUCUCCCUUCUUCCCUGGAUCAGGGAGGCCGCGGAUAACAGAAACUAUCCUAGCUCCUGGAAGCAGAAAGGGGUUUCAUAUGGGAAGAAGGCGCUCACAAUAAUGUUGGAAGAAAAGGUUGCCACUGAAAGGAGAGAAGAGGAUCCAGGCUGAGCUCUAGGGGUGACACCCAGGCAGCACAGCUGAACUGGGCCCCCUGGGGCUGCUGCCAUCAUUGCCACGGUGUGGAGGCUGGGAAUCAGGGCCACCACGGGAGCUGCUGACAAUCAAGAGGGCAGUGAUCAGAGAAGCUGCUCCAAAGUGCCAUCCAGCCAGGGCGCAGUGACUGAACAUAGCUGCCAACAACGAACACAAACUAGCAGACUUCUCUUUUUUAUAUACCCUCUCCCUCCCUUCUCACCUGAGUCUUCUCAAGGAGAGCUUGACUGUGCCCAGAACCCUAGCUGCAAGGAACUCUGGGAAAUGUAGUUUACACCUUUCCAGCCUCUGGGAUGGAGGAAUGCACCCUUGAAGUAGAUGGGAAAGAAUGCGGAGUGACACCCCCAUCGCGUCCUACAUAUAUCUAAAACAUAUUUCAUCAGAGCCUGAGCUAGCAUAUUUCAUUCAAAGCAGGUAGAUGAUAUAUUGUAAGAAUCCAAAAAGGAUCCAGUUGCUAACCAAUUUCCAUUUCAAACAGAUGGAUAUUAUAGUCAUUGCAGUCGAAAUUGCUGGAAAAAGCAUCAAGCAAAUAAAUAACUAAAAAUUACCAAGCACCUACCUCUGCGUGUGGUUGUGUUUGAAUGUGAAAUAAUUUACCUUUGUUUUGAUUUAGUAAUCCAAAUCAAAUACCAGGAGAAUUGAUUUCUGAAAAAGUCCUCCCCACCAAAGUCCCAGAUAGCCUACGUUUAAUGCAUAGCAAUACAAAGGAAGAAGGCAGUGUCUGAUAAGAGAUAGCUCCUGGCAGGCUGGCUCUUUCAGUAGAUGUUAUCUAUGUAUCUGUGUUUCUACCGAAAUCUUUCUUUAAUCUAUAACGUGAAUGGUGCUUUUUUUCUUUUUUUAAGGAUUACAAAGAUAGAAAUGACCUGUUAAUUAGAGA